CAAUAGCGUAUAUUAAAGUUGUUGCAGUUAAAAAGCUCGUAGUUGGAUUUGUGGCGUACGGUGGGUUCCGGGCACUUGUUGUCUGAGUAACUUGCUGUUGCCAUCCUUGGGUGGAACCUGUGUGGCAUUAGGUUGUCGUGCAGGGGAUGCCCAUCAUUUACUGUGAAAAAAUUAGAGUGCUCAAAGCAGGCUUAUGCCGUUGAAUAUAUUAGCAUGGAAUAAUGAGAUAGGACUUUUUUGCUAUUUUGUUGGUUUGCGCAAAGAGGUAAUGAUUAAUAGGGACAGUUGGGGGUAUUCGUAUUCCAUUGUCAGAGGUGAAAUUCUUGGAUUUUUGGAAGACGAACUACUGCGAAAGCAUUUACCAAGGAUGUUUUCAUUAA
Molecule: ribosomal RNA, 380 nt
Filed under: uncultured eukaryote
Lineage: Eukaryota
Description: partial 18S ribosomal RNA
Rfam family: Eukaryotic small subunit ribosomal RNA
Source: RNAcentral